GACGAACGCUGGCGGCGUGCUUAACACAUGCCAGUCGAACGGAAAGGCCCUGCUUUUGUGGGGUGCUCGAGUGGCGAACGGGUGAGUAACACGUGAGUAACCUGCCCUUGACUUUGGGAUAACUUCAGGAAACUGGGCUAAUACCGGAUAGGAGCUCCUGCUGCCUGGUGGGGGUUGGAAAGUUUCGGCGGUUGGGGAUGGACUCGCGGCUUAUCAGCUUGUUGGUGGGGUAGUGGCUUACCAAGGCUUUGACGGGUAGCCGGCCUGAGAGGGUGACCGGCCACAUUGGGACUGAGAUACGGCCCAGACUCCUACGGGAGGCAGCAGUGGGGAAUAUUGCACAAUGGGCGGAAGCCUGAUGCAGCAACGCCGCGUGCGGGAUGACGGCCUUCGGGUUGUAAACCGCUUUCGCCUGUGACGAAGCGUGAGUGACGGUAAUGGGUAAAGAAGCACCGGCUAACUACGUG
This 467-nucleotide ribosomal RNA is filed under the name uncultured bacterium. RNAcentral's name for it is "partial 16S ribosomal RNA". It matches the Rfam family "Bacterial small subunit ribosomal RNA", at positions 28 to 507 of the family's 1533-position model. The record is from RNAcentral.